Molecule: ribosomal RNA, 267 nt
Filed under: uncultured bacterium
Lineage: Bacteria
Description: partial small subunit ribosomal RNA
Rfam family: Bacterial small subunit ribosomal RNA
Source: RNAcentral
AGGACGAACGCUGGCGGCGUGCUUAACACAUGCAAGUCGAGCGGUAAGGCCCUUCGGGGUACACGAGCGGCGAACGGGUGAGUAACACGUGGGUGACCUGCCCCCUACUCUGGGAUAAGCCUGGGAAACUGGGUCUAAUACCGGAUAUGACCUGCGAUUGCAUGAUUGUGGGUGGAAAGUGGUGUUUUCGGACACUGUCGGUGGGGGAUGGGCCCGCGGCCUAUCAGCUUGUUGGUGGGUGAUGGCCUACCAAGGCGACGACGGGUA